GACGAACCGUCCUAACGUUGUUCGGAAUCACUGGGCUUAAAGGGCGCGUAGGCGGGCAACCAAGUCCGGGGUGAAAUCUUUCGGCUUAACCGGAAAAUAGCCUUGGAUACUGGUGGUCUCGAGGGAGGUAGGGGCCGUUGGAACUUCCGGUGGAGCGGUGAAAUGCGUUGAUAUCGGAAGGAACGCCGGUGGCGAAAGCGAACGGCUGGACCUCUUCUGACGCUGAGGCGCGAAAGCCAGGGGAGCAAACGGG
RNAcentral lists this ribosomal RNA (253 nucleotides) under uncultured bacterium. RNAcentral's name for it is "partial 16S ribosomal RNA". It matches the Rfam family "Bacterial small subunit ribosomal RNA", at positions 524 to 776 of the family's 1533-position model. The record is from RNAcentral.